Molecule: long non-coding RNA, 631 nt
Organism: Lemur catta (Ring-tailed lemur)
Lineage: Eukaryota; Metazoa; Chordata; Mammalia; Primates; Lemuridae
Exons: 4
Source: RefSeq, a predicted model, not a curated record
GGAGAGGACAGCUUGCUCAGGAUCACACUGGUUGGUGAUGGCAGAGGCCAGGGGGAAACAGAAGCGUCCUAACUCAGUGCUGUCCUCUGUCCUAUGCCACACAUAACUCAAGAUGGAAAACCUGAAAGGAUCAUUUCUUGGAGGAGCACUGUUCCCUAAGACUAUUUGACCACGGAGCAUCUCGCAAGAUCCCUGGCCUGAGGAAUACACUACUUUAGAAAAUGCUGUGGCAUGCGAUGUGUGCGGAGAGAAGAGUGAGGGUGAAGGCAUUUGUACUGGCUCCUAGAUGCGGUGAUCCCCAACAUCUAUUCUAAGCGUACUAUCCUCAGAGAUGUCUCAGCAGUAAGCGUGAGAAGCACCCGUCCUCAGCCAGGGUGUCAGCUUGGGUUUGGUGACAGCAGCCUUGAAGGAGGUGUUGGAUGGCUGAAGCCCUCCAUUGUAGCAACUCUGGCAUCUUCCACAAGCCCAGCCUCGCCAAGUUGUCCUCCUGCCAAGCUGGAGAGCGGCUGGCUCCUGAGGGGGCCCUCUCUAAGCAGAGUCUCACUCCCUUGCCCUGGACUAUAGUGUAUUGGUGUCAUCAUAGCUCACUGCAACCUCAAACUCCUGGGCCCAAGUGAUCCUCCUGCCUCAG